CCUUCGAUAGCUCAGUUGGUAGAGCGGUGGACUGUAGUUGUUGGGUAGAAAUCCAUAGGUCGCUGGUUCGAAUCCGGCUCGAAGGA
Molecule: transfer RNA, 86 nt
Filed under: Cyphomyrmex costatus
Lineage: Eukaryota; Metazoa; Arthropoda; Insecta; Hymenoptera; Formicidae
Rfam family: tRNA
About the family: Transfer RNA (tRNA) molecules are approximately 80 nucleotides in length. Their secondary structure includes four short double-helical elements and three loops (D, anti-codon, and T loops).
Source: Rfam by way of RNAcentral